Molecule: transfer RNA, 107 nt
Filed under: Candidatus Korarchaeum cryptofilum OPF8
Lineage: Archaea; Thermoproteati; Thermoproteota; Candidatus Korarchaeia; Candidatus Korarchaeales; Candidatus Korarchaeaceae
Rfam family: tRNA
About the family: Transfer RNA (tRNA) molecules are approximately 80 nucleotides in length. Their secondary structure includes four short double-helical elements and three loops (D, anti-codon, and T loops).
Source: Rfam by way of RNAcentral
GGGCCCGUGGCUCAGACUGGAUAGAGCGCCUGCCUUAUAUGGCGGCUCCCGCUACAGAGCGCCAGGGGAAAAGCGGGAGGUCGGGGGUUCAAGUCCCCCCGGGCCCA